Molecule: non-coding RNA, 445 nt
Organism: Schizosaccharomyces pombe (fission yeast)
Lineage: Eukaryota; Fungi; Ascomycota; Schizosaccharomycetes; Schizosaccharomycetales; Schizosaccharomycetaceae
Source: the annotation of a GenBank genome assembly
CUCGUCAGGGACCUCUUCAACAGUAACAUUAUGUCGUAAAGAUGCUUGAGAAGAUGGUCUUUUCGGAGAUGCAGAAUCAUUAGAGUCAACAUUAGAUUUAGGUUCAUUAAAUGAGCCUUGCUCAUGAUUGUUGCUUCCUUCACUCUUUACAUCAGUUUCAGCGCCUUUAGGAGAGGCCGAAAAGGUCUCAUUAGAGAAAUGUUCAGCAACAGGAGGUGAAGGUUGUUUUGAGCUGUCAGUUAAUUUCUCUCCCGCCUUCGUGUCUAUGGGCUCUUCAACUGUUUGGGUAGAAUGAAUAGGUAACGUCCCGUCAUCGGGAUCACGAACAGAUUCAACGUCCUCAUCACUACUUACCACUGAAUAUUGACCAGUCGAUAACAAUGCCUCUAGUGGGUUUCUAAACGUAGUAGGUUCGUCUUCAGGUUCAAUGACUUCUGGGUCAGGA